Molecule: non-coding RNA, 544 nt
Organism: Megalopta genalis
Lineage: Eukaryota; Metazoa; Arthropoda; Insecta; Hymenoptera; Halictidae
Source: RefSeq, a predicted model, not a curated record
UCCACCUACAACAUUCGGUAUAUAUUUUCUGUACUCCGUAUUCUGUUGGAACACUUUUUUAUUGGUUCACCGACAGGAUACGAAUUGCUUAGAACGAAUCAGUUAACAGAUUCAGGUUUUGGAGAAGCAGAAUAAACCAUUCAUAACAAAGUUUCUAAGAAAACUCCGAGAACCUUCUUUCACAACGUAGAUGGCGCUAUUAUUCCAACACACGACGCUUACGACUCCGAAUUUAAUACCUUUUAAGAGUACAAUAGGGGUCGUACAGACCCUUUGAUGCUUUUAUGCGAUGUUCAACUGCAGACGUUCCAGCGCAUAUGUGGUGUAUCGAGACAAAGAUAUUUAAACACCGGACGUUACAGAAUGUUGAGCUUACGGAUUCCCGAUAAUUGCCCGGUGACCGUAUCUGUCACAAUAUCAAAAUCAUGCGACUACAAGGCACCAUAAUUCCCAUUGAAGACCGUUUCGUCAACCGGUGGGUGACUCCUCGGAUAGGAAUUUUCUUAGCAACGGAUAAUGGAGCGAAAGAAGCAUUUUUCAAACG